CGCACGCCGGAAGACCAAGGGUUCCUGUCCAACGUUAAACGGGGCAGGGUGAGUCGACCCCUAAGGCGAGGCUGAAAAGCGUAGUCGAUGGGAAGCUGGUUAAUAUUCCAGCACUUGGUGUUACUGCGAAGGGGGGACGGAGAAGGCUAGGCUAGCCGGGCGACGGUUGUCCCGGUUCAAGCGUGUAGGGGGUGUGAUUUGGUAAAUCCGGUCGCAUAUCAACCCUGAGGCGUGAUAACGAGCCACUACGGUGGUGAAGUAGUUGAUGCCAAGCUUCCAGGAAAAGCCUCUAAGCUCCAGGUAACACGAAAUCGUACCCCAAACCGACACAGGUGGUCAGGUAGAGAAUACUCAGGCGCUUGAGAGAACUCGGGUGAAGGAUCUAGGCAAAAUGGUGCCGUAACUUCGGGAGAAGGCACGCUGGCGCGUAGGUGAAGGGACUUGCUCCCGGAGCUGAAGCCAGUCGAAGAUACAAGCUUGCUGCAACUGUUUAAUAAAUACACAGCACUGUGCAAACACGAAAGUGGUCGUAUCAGGUGUGACGCCUGCACGGUGCCGGAAGGUUA
RNAcentral lists this ribosomal RNA (566 nucleotides) under Rahnella variigena. RNAcentral describes it as "partial 23S ribosomal RNA". It matches the Rfam family "Bacterial large subunit ribosomal RNA", at positions 1331 to 1879 of the family's 2925-position model. Lineage: Bacteria; Pseudomonadati; Pseudomonadota; Gammaproteobacteria; Enterobacterales; Yersiniaceae. The record is from RNAcentral.